CCCCCUCGGUCGCACCCCCUCUCUCCUCCUCGCCGCCUCCUGCCUCCUCCCCCUCGACCGCAUCUACCUCCGUCCGUGGCCUCGCUACCAAGGUCGAGGUCGUCGAGAUCGACCUCACCGAGGAAGACACUAGCUCCUUGGCCCACGCGCCGCGGCGCCGCCCCUGGACCGGUCGAGAGGAGCGGAGAUCCAUCCAUCCGGCCGUCGGUCGGUCUCGUCGUCUGUCGUUGGUGAGUGACCUCCAGCUGCUUUGUUUACCUGGAUAGAUAAAUUUUCCUAUCUGUUGGUUUUGUUAGUCCAAUCCAAUCUCCCAGAUUUUUCUUCGUUCCUUCGUCGGUUCAGUUCACUUGCCGAUUUGUGUGCUGUGUGGUGCCACGCAGCUAAUCUAUCGAGUCCAACACAAUCCGACCCCGCCCGUGGUUCAUCAGCGCGCAAAAUCCGCCCAUCUCAGUUGGCGCCGCGCCGUAGAAGUUAGUUAGUUGCUGGUGCCCAAUUAAGUCGAAAUCAGAUUCCCCUGAGCCACGUCAUAUUGAGGUCGAAAUCAGAUUCUGGCAGUUAUUGAUCUCUUAUGGAGUAAGGAAAAUUUCUACGAUUCGUUUGAGUUUUACCAGAACUGGAAGUUGUGGUAAAUCAUUAGGUUAAGUGGAUGAGUUCAUUUUUAGUGUCAAAUAGUCAUGUGUGGUUACAGGGAAUUCAUUAUAUGAACUGAUUGCGGACAUUAGGGUGUUUGUGCCCUGCCAUACACUGAUACACUAUCAUCUAUCAUAUUGCCUUCUGAUGGAAAUGCUCGGUCUAUUCACUAUCACUCACAGAAUUUGCUCACGAUGUUCUUGAAGGAGCAAGCUGGAACUGAUAUGAUUGGCCUAUUGGUGUCUUGUAGGCUGUAAUGAAAA
This 893-nucleotide long non-coding RNA is filed under the name Zea mays. RNAcentral describes it as "long non-coding RNA (ZMAY_LNC000080)". The record is from RNAcentral. Lineage: Eukaryota; Viridiplantae; Streptophyta; Magnoliopsida; Poales; Poaceae.